This 464-nucleotide ribosomal RNA is filed under the name Vreelandella stevensii. RNAcentral describes it as "partial 16S ribosomal RNA". It matches the Rfam family "Bacterial small subunit ribosomal RNA", at positions 338 to 795 of the family's 1533-position model. Lineage: Bacteria; Pseudomonadati; Pseudomonadota; Gammaproteobacteria; Oceanospirillales; Halomonadaceae. The record is from RNAcentral.
CCUAGGGAGGCAGCAGUGGGGAAUAUUGGACAAUGGGCGAAAGCCUGAUCCAGCCAUGCCGCGUGUGUGAAGAAGGCCUUCGGGUUGUAAAGCACUUUCAGUGGGGAAGAAAGCCUUGGGGCUAAUACCCUCGAGGAAGGACAUCACCCACAGAAGAAGCACCGGCUAACUCCGUGCCAGCAGCCGCGGUAAUACGGAGGGUGCGAGCGUUAAUCGGAAUUACUGGGCGUAAAGCGCGCGUAGGCGGUCUGAUAAGCCGGUUGUGAAAGCCCCGGGCUCAACCUGGAAACGGCAUCCGGAACUGUCAGGCUAGAGUGCAGGAGAGGAAGGUAGAAUUCCCGGUGUAGCGGUGAAAUGCGUAGAGAUCGGGAGGAAUACCAGUGGCGAAGGCGGUCUUCUGGACUGACACUGACGCUGAGGUGCGAAAGCGUGGGUAGCAAACAGGAUUAGAUACCCCAGUAGUC